GUCUGGUGGUUCAUUUAAUAACUUAGCUAUGUUGUACAAGACUGCACAUGUAACAACAACAUCACAGACUCUCCUUGGUUCCACCUGCAUUCCAUGCCCCUUCAAGCACCUGAACUUGUUUUUCAGCUGUCCAAACGUCAUUUCAAUCAAACAUCGUGUCCGUGCAUGUGCCCUGCAUUUAAAAAAAUAAAGAUUAACAUUUCGUGAAGACAUUUCAGCACUUAAAGGGGAGCCAAAUCCAAAUAAUAACUUGCUUUUAAAAGAAAAUCAGACAAGUUGAUAUCAGACAAAUAAUAGGAAAGUUAUAAAAUUUGUAAAAAUUGGUAAUCAAUAUACUCAUGUAGACUACAAAUUGGCUGCAUAUAUAAUGAUGUCAUUAAGGCAAUGAAUACUCUCCUCUGUACUCCAAUAAGUAAAUUAGUUAUAAUGUAAUUUCUUUUGAAAUGUUUUACUUAAAAUAUUGUUUCUUUCAUGAAGACAUUAAGCAAUAUACGUUAUACUAAAUAGGUUCAUUAUUGUGGAUUGAAAUAAUCGCUAGAGGGUAUUCAUUUGUCUCGCAAUCUACUAUGGUCAACAAGGAAAUUCAUGAUCACUCUCGCAAAAAGUGUUCACUGGCUUUCUAGGAAAUUCGUGAUCACUCUCGCAAAAAGUGUUCACUAGCUUACAAGUUCACGAGCUUUCGAGUGCCGCUGCAACUCUUUAUCAAGUGACGAAAAUUAUCUGAUAACGUACUCUAUUUAUACUAAUCUCCAGGACCGUACUUGAGCGUCGGUGUGUGCGGUGCGGCCGGUAAUCCGUAUAUGCAAAUAAGCCGGGGGUAUAUGCAAAUACGCCAUGGGCGGGGGUUGACUAGCUGAGCGGUCCCUCAUUCGGGGCCGGGAACGAUCGGGUCGGCGUUCACUGCCAGGUAAGGGGGUAUUGUGCUGUCGGAUGGUUCGCAUCCAGAAGUCGGGGAUGUCGAUCCCGCUGUCUCUGUAGAAGUUGUUACGACAAAGACAUAUAUACUAAUAGCCUCCUUAAUCCUGCGUGUAUACCAAUGUCUCUCUUUGGCAAUGCAAUGUACACCCUCCCAAUCUGGGUGGUGUUGCUUCUCCCAAGCAUGUUCUGCCACCGCGGAUGUGUCGGUUCGCUGUAACCGAACAUUGCGCUUGUGUUCAGAAAUGCGUUCAACUAUCGGUCGGGCUGUUUCUCCGAUGUAAGACCCGUCACAUCCCUGGCAAGGAAUGUUGUAUACUACGCCAUCACGUCUGUGAUCAGGGAUAGGGUCUUUGGGGUGUACAAGCUGUUUGUGUACGGUGGUGUCCGAGCGGAAAACCGUUCGGAUACCGUGACCUUCUAAUCGGCGUUUAAGUUGUUGUGAAAGGCCAUCUAUGUAUGGCAAGACUGUGCGAGUCUUGAAAAAGACAGAGCAGCACGUAUUUUAACUCACCCACCUGAACUCCCGAAAGAAAGAGCACACAUACGUGGUGCCUUGUACAGCAACUGCUACCCACGCCGUUUUAUCAAGAACACUUUCAAGAAAAAACAACCACCAAGGGAUCAGGAGCCCCCCCCCUUUCCCCCCUCCCCAAAUGACAAUACAAUAAUGAAAAUUUCAUGUUUUUUUCUCCCUGUUCAAUUCUUAGGAAACUUGUUAAGAAUCAGAGGGUAAGAUGUCUCAGUACACCUGGAAAGACUCUCCCUGGAGUAAUGUUGGUGCUGCACUAAAUCAGAUACAGCAGAACCAGUCAUCAUUAGGUGCCCAGCCUGGUGUAGUAGGUACCCCUACCACUGUCUAUGGUCAAUCUAUGGUGAGCAGUAAUGGGUUAACAGGAGCUACAACAUUAUACUCUACUCCACAGCAAACCAUGCAACAAAGACAAAAUAUUGCCAUACAACAGGUAAAAGUCAUUUAAUUGUUGAGACAUACAAAGUCCCAAGGAAUUCAAUGAACACUUAACAUUAACAACAUUUUAAAAGUUGAAGAUGAAUUAUGCUGGAUAUCAAAAAAUAUCUGACAAUCACUGAGCGUAAAAAAAAUGAAAAAGAAAAGUAUCUUGGUAUUCCAAUUGGUAUUACUCAUAAUGAUAAUGUCAUAUUUCACCUAGGGUAGCCACUUCGUAUCCAAAAACUGUUCUCCCAUCAGACCCUGCUUAACACGAUAAUGUCAUUAUCAUAUCACAAACAAUUCUUAAUAAAUAUCUGACUGGUGUUUAUUUAUUGUCUUUUUUUACAGGGUUGCAUUUAAUGUUAGUGCAAUGCUGUUGUACAGCAUUGAUAAUGUACAAAUAAUUCCUGUAUGCACUGUGCUGGUCCUGCAUUCUCUAUCUGACUUCCCCUUUCCUACCCUCCCCCCCCCCCCCCCCCCGAUCCCUGAUUCUCAACCUUUUAUUCUCCUAUCUCCAAGCCCUACCCGUCCCCCUUACCUGAUUUUGAUUGAUUGAUUGAUUGAGUGAUUUUAUUUCUCAUGAUAAAAACAAUACAAAAUAUAUACAUUCCAAAUAUAAAACGUUAAUAAUUGAAUUACAUAUAUAGUAAUCAGGUACAUGAAUUUGAGAUUAUAAAAACUUAUAAGAGAAAUAUGGGAAAAACCAAAAAGCUACAAGGAGCUUGAAAGGGGUUAUUCCCAAUUAAAGAAUACGAUUGCAGAAAUACAUAUACAUAACUUGAUAAAAUAACAUACAAAUAAAGCAUAAAUUAACUUAACUGUAACUUGCCCAAGAAAACUCCUAAACACCCCCCCCCCCUUACAUGAACAAAAUCGACCUAUCUUCCAACUAAUAUGUAGAUAAAAUGUGGUAUUUUAAUUUUCUUUUGAAUGCCGAUAAAAAUGAGUAUUGCUUGAUCUCAGUGGGAAGUGAAUGCCAGACGUCGGGGCCCCUGUGUCUUAUUGAUUUAGAUGUUAACAAAGUUCGCGGAUUUAUUAAAUGGUAAUUUUCUGAGCCUCUUGUGUUAUACGAAUGAAUUUGGUAAUUACAUAUGAACAUAGAAUUGAAUUGGGAAGGCAAUAUUUUAUUUUUCAAUCUAAACAUGAAAAGUGCUGUCUGGAUGGUAUUUAUAUCCGCAACUUUUAGUAAUCCAAGCUCUUUAAAAAUUGGGUCGGUGUGGGCUAGAUAAUGAGACCCUGUACACAACCUUACAGCUCUCUUUUGUAAUUUGAACAGCAUAUCUAUAUGUUUGGAAUAACAAUUUCCCCAGACAAUAAUUCCAUAUGACAAUGAAGACAAGAUAAAUGAGUUGUACAAUAAAAUCAUCGCCUUAGUGGGAAGGUAGAAUUUAAGCUUAGACAUGAUGCCAAGCGUACGUGAUACAUUAAGUUUAAGGUUUUCAAACUGGGGGUUCCAUGUGAGACAUUCGUCAAGUAAAAUACCUAGGAACUUCACUGUUGACUUCUUUUCUAAGAUAGUAUUGUUUACAAUAAUGUUAUGAUUUGGGUUAUCAAUGAUUGGUUUGUUUUUACUGUGAAAUACUAUAUAAUUGGUCUUACUGAUAUUGAGCGAUAAUUUAUUAGAACGAAGCCAAUUUAAUAAUUUAGGGAGUUCAGUGUUAUACAGAGAAAAAAUAUUAUCCAGAUUUUCAUCAGCGUAAAGUAGGGUUGUGUCGUCAGCAAACAAGACAUAUUGUAGAUUGGGAGAAACAUGUGAGAUAUCAUUUACAUAAACUAGGAAUAAGAGAGGCCCGAGUAUAGACCCUUGUGGGACGCCGCAUUUCAGAUUUAGGAUAUCGGAUUUAUGAUUGUCAAAUUCAGUAUAUUGUUGCCGGUUGGAAAUAUAAUCACUAAACCAUCCAAGUGGCGUUCCCCUUACACCACUUUGUUCGAGCUUAUGGAGUAGAAUUUUAUGAUUAAGGGUGUCGAAUGCCUUGGACAGGUCUAACAUGACACCUACGACAAAUUGCUUUUUGGCGAUGGCAGAUGUUAUUUUAUCAUAUAUGUCCAAUAUUGCCAAAUCUGUAGAGUAAUUCUUACGAAAACCAUAUUGUGUAGGAAGCAGUAGAUCAUGUUUGAGUAAGAAAGCAUAUAAUUGAUUGUAAACUAUCCGUUCGAGAAUCUUAGACAUACAAGGCAAUAUUGAAAUCGGUCGAUAAUUGUUACAUUGAUUGCGAUCACCCUUUUUGAAAAUUGGUAUUACCUUUGCCAGUUUGAAGGAUUGGGGGAAAGUUCCUGUCGUGAGUGACAUGUUGAAUAUAUGACAUAAAGGAUCAGCGAUAUUAUGGAUAAUCUUUUUUAAAAUAAAAGUAUUCAAUCCUUCGUGACCACAUGAUUUACUGUUUUU
Lytechinus pictus (painted urchin) is the source of this 4253-nucleotide long non-coding RNA. RefSeq lists it as uncharacterized. The transcript is spliced from 2 exons. The record is from RefSeq and is a predicted model, not a curated record. Lineage: Eukaryota; Metazoa; Echinodermata; Echinoidea; Temnopleuroida; Toxopneustidae.